RNAcentral lists this transfer RNA (72 nucleotides) under Glutamicibacter sp. BW80. Its description in RNAcentral is "tRNA-Thr". It matches the Rfam family "tRNA". Rfam says of the family: Transfer RNA (tRNA) molecules are approximately 80 nucleotides in length. Their secondary structure includes four short double-helical elements and three loops (D, anti-codon, and T loops). The record is from RNAcentral. Lineage: Bacteria; Bacillati; Actinomycetota; Actinomycetes; Micrococcales; Micrococcaceae.
GCCCUUGUAGCUCAACGGCAGAGCAACCGCCUUGUAAGCGGUAGGUUUUCGGUUCAAAUCCGAACUUUGGCG